RNAcentral lists this unclassified non-coding RNA (358 nucleotides) under uncultured fungus. RNAcentral describes it as "sequence contains ITS1". The stretch from base 1 to 107 matches the Rfam family "5.8S ribosomal RNA", at positions 50 to 154 of the family's 154-position model. The record is from RNAcentral. Lineage: Eukaryota; Fungi.
GAAAUGCGAUACUUGGUGUGAAUUGCAGAAUCCCGUGAACCAUCGAGUCUUUGAACGCAAGUUGCGCCCGAAGCCGUUAGGCCGAGGGCACGUCUGCCUGGGCGUCACACGUCGUUGCCCCCCCGACCCCUUCGGAGGUCGGACGGGACGGAUGAUGGCCUUCCCGUGUGCCCCGUCACGCGGUUGGCAUAAAUACCGAGUCCUCGGCGACCGGCGCCGCGGCGAUCGGUGGUUGUCAAACCUCGGUGCCCUGUCGCGUGCGUGAGUCGAUCGCGGGACUUCCUUAACCGUAAGCGCGUCGGUAACCCGACGCUUUCAACGCGACCCCAGGUCAGGCGGGGCUACCCGCUGAGUUUAA